UACGAAGGUGGCGAGCGUUGUUCGGAUUUACUGGGCGUACAGGGUCCGUAGGCGGUUCGGUAAGCCCUUUGUGAAAUCUCCCAGCUUAACUGGGAAACGGCGGAGGGGACUGCCGGGCUAGAGGACGGGAGAGGAGCGCGGAAUUCCCGGUGUAGCGGUGAAAUGCGUAGAGAUCGGGAGGAAGGCCGGUGGCGAAGGCGGCGCUCUGGAACGUACCUGACGCUGAGGUGCGAAAGCGUGGGGAGCAAACAGG
This 253-nucleotide unclassified non-coding RNA is filed under the name uncultured Nitrospira sp. RNAcentral's name for it is "contains 16S-23S intergenic spacer region". It matches the Rfam family "Bacterial small subunit ribosomal RNA", at positions 524 to 776 of the family's 1533-position model. Lineage: Bacteria; Pseudomonadati; Nitrospirota; Nitrospiria; Nitrospirales; Nitrospiraceae. The record is from RNAcentral.